AGAGAUAUAUAAUUUAAUUAUAUUAUUUACUGGUGGCACAGAAUCGGAGGCCCCGACUGUUUACUAAAAACACAAUUCAGAGCAAUGAUUAAUAUCAUAGUAUUCUGGAUGAAAUUUGCUCAAUGCCAUUAAUACAAGAGAGGUGAUGGGAUAACUGUUACUAAUCGAAAUUCUGGUGAAUAGCGGUCUUAACUAUGAGGAUCCUAAGGUAGCAAAAUCAGUUGGCCAUUAAAUGUGGUCCGGUAUCAGUAGUGUAACGAUGGUCUCACUGUCUCUACAACUUGCUCAGUGAAAUUGAAUUACCCGUGCAGAUGCGGGUUGCCUCCAGGUGGACGGGAAGACCCUAUGCAGCUUUACUGUAGUUAGUUAUCAUGUUAAUCUAGAACAACCUUGGUCAAAGUGAUUAGGGAAGUCGAUAGACGAAAAGUGGAAUACCUCGAGACUAGGGUUGGGUUAAUAUUUACCUUAUACUUUAUAAGUAGAGGGAUAGGUGACUAAUUGGCAGUUUGACUGGGGCGGUCGUUUUUAAAAUAGUAUCAAAAUGCAUCCAAUGAUUUAAUUAGCCGGAAGGCUUAUAAUGUUAAUAAAAAAUUAAUAUACAGACAUAAAUAAUCAAAGUAGAAAAUAAUUGAUGAGUAAUUUUAUUACUUUACUUGCGGACGGUCUCGGUUUCGGUUUACCGCUUGCGGCUGGCCGGUCCGGGCGAAAGCUUGUAUUUUUCAAUCUCAAUUUUAAAGGUAUAGCUAGAAAUUUGAAUGGAGGUCAAUCGACCAGUGAGAAAGGUCGUAAUGGUGCAAUGGCUUACAGCAUACCUAACUGAAAGACUUAGGAGUCGCACAGAUACGUAAGUAGGGCAUAGUGACCCCUCGCUAUAAUAUGGAAUA
Molecule: ribosomal RNA, 884 nt
Filed under: Bjerkandera adusta
Lineage: Eukaryota; Fungi; Basidiomycota; Agaricomycetes; Polyporales; Phanerochaetaceae
Also listed under: 1 other name
Description: LSU rRNA
Rfam family: Bacterial large subunit ribosomal RNA
Source: RNAcentral